Molecule: ribosomal RNA, 301 nt
Filed under: uncultured bacterium
Lineage: Bacteria
Description: partial 16S ribosomal RNA
Rfam family: Bacterial small subunit ribosomal RNA
Source: RNAcentral
CAGUAGCCGCGGGAAUACAGAGGGUGCGAGCGUUAAUCGGAUUUACUGGGCGUAAAGCGUGCGUAGGCGGCUUUUUAAGUCGGAUGUGAAAUCCCUGAGCUUAACUUAGGAAUUGCAUUCGAUACUGGGAAGCUGGAGUAUGGGAGAGGAUGGUAGAAUUCCAGGUGUAGCGGUGAAAUGCGUAGAGAUCUGGAGGAAUACCGAUGGCGAAGGCAGCCAUCUGGCCUAAUACUGACGCUGAGGUACGAAAGCAUGGGGAGCAAACAGGAUUAGAUACCCCAGUAGUCCCUGUCUCUUAUAA